AACGAACGCUGGCGGCAGGCUUAACACAUGCAAGUCGAACGCAUCCUUCGGGGUGAGUGGCAGACGGGUGAGUAACACGUGGGAACGUACCUUUCGGUUCGGGAUAACCCAGGGAAACUUGGGCUAAUACCGGAUACGUCCUUUGGGAGAAAGAUUCAUUGCCGAAAGAUCGGCCCGCGUCUGAUUAGCUAGUUGGUGAGGUAAUGGCUCACCAAGGCGACGAUCAGUAGCUGGUCUGAGAGGAUGGCCAGCCACACUGGAACUGAACACGGUCCAGACUCCUACGGAGGCAGCAGUGGGAAUCUUGCGCAAUGGACGAAAGUCUGACGCAGCCACGCCGCGUGAGUGAAGAAGGCCUUCGGUUG
This 365-nucleotide ribosomal RNA is filed under the name uncultured bacterium. Its description in RNAcentral is "bacterial SSU rRNA". It matches the Rfam family "Bacterial small subunit ribosomal RNA", at positions 29 to 425 of the family's 1533-position model. The record is from RNAcentral.